RNAcentral lists this ribosomal RNA (497 nucleotides) under uncultured bacterium. Its description in RNAcentral is "partial 16S ribosomal RNA". It matches the Rfam family "Bacterial small subunit ribosomal RNA", at positions 28 to 507 of the family's 1533-position model. The record is from RNAcentral.
GAUGAACGCUGGCGGCGUGCCUAAUACAUGCAAGUCGAGCGAACGGACGAGAGGCUUGCUUCUCUGAUGUUAGCGGCGGACGGGUGAGUAACACGUGGAUAACCUACCUAUAAGACUGGGAUAACUUCGGGAAACCGGAGCUAAUACCGGAUGAUAUUUUGAACCGCAUGGUUCAAAAGUGAAAGACGGUCUUGCUGUCACUUAUAGAUGGAUCCGCGCUGCAUUAGCUAGUUGGUAAUGUAACGGCUUACCAAGGCAACGAUGCAUAGCCGACCUGAGAGGGUGAUCGGCCACACUGGAACUGAGACACGGUCCAGACUCCUACGGGAGGCAGCAGUAGGGAAUCUUCCGCAAUGGGCGAAAGCCUGACGGAGCAACGCCGCGUGAGUGAUGAAGGUCUUCGGAUCGUAAAACUCUGUUAUUAGGGAAGAACAUAUGUGUAAGUAACUGUGCACAUCUUGUCGGUACCUAAUCAGAAAGCCACGGCUAACUACGUG